UGUGGCAGAGGGGAGGGUUGUGUGGCAGAAGGGGAAGGGAAACAACAAGUGUUGUACACAGCAUGCAUUUGGUAGAUGUACAUAAUAUACAUGAUACAUAGAAAAACAGCUUAGUGGGAAUACACUGUGCUAAUAUGGUUACUGUUACAGGGGUAAGGAGAGUAGGAACAGAAAAACAUGUCGGUGGUGGCAAUAAUAUACAGUAUAUUGCAUAUAAAUGCUAGCAUAGGCUAUCGGGUAGAGUAAGUGUACGGCAGUGCGGUGGCGGUGGGUGCAAUUGGUCGAGGGUUUCUGCAGGUAGACCGGGUGGAGAGACUACAGCAGCGUCCCAUGGCGAAGAUAGUCUAGAUUAGGAGAGAAAGAAAAAGAACAGAGUGAGUGGGUUAUUAUAGGCAAGAAAGGAGAGGGAGAGGGAGAGAGAGAGAGAAAGAGGCUGCCUGGCUGGGUGUAUGGGGAUUUUAUUUAAUAUUUAGUUGGCUGGCGACAGUCGCAAUACGCGCCGUGUGCUGUACCCGGGAUCUUCCACACUCCUUCACGGUACAACAUACGCUGUCUGUAGCCCAGUUAUGUUGAUUAGGGGGGUAUUGCAUGUGUUUUAGAUGUGUUUAGCUAUGCUGGCAUUUAGCAUUUAGUUUGGUUUGGCAUUUAGUUUGGUUUAGCAUUAGUUAUGUUUAGUUAUGCUGCCAUUUAGCAAUUAGUUUGGUUUGGUACAUAUGGAGAUUUUAGUCUUAAGCUUUGUUAGGGUUGCAGGGUACAACAUACGCUGUCUGUAGCCCAGUGAUAUACUUUUUUUUUUUUUUAUUCUUAUGUGUUCAGUUAUGUCUAGUUAUGCUUGCUGACUGGCUGGCCCAGCAGGUGAUGGGUUUGUUGACGCAAUUACUUGUGGCUAUAGGAUGCACUAAAGAGGAAUGUCUUUAGUCUUGAUUUGAAUAUAGGUAGGGUGUCUGCAUCUCGGAUGGAGGCAGGGAGAUUGUUCCAGAGGAGGGGGGCUCGGUCAUUUAGGGCUUUGUAAGUUAGCAGGAGUACUUUGAAAUCAAUUCUACUUUUGACAGGGAGCCAAUGCAGAGAGGCAAGUACAGGUGAGAUGUGCUCAUAUUUUUUUGUUCUGGUGAGUGUACGGGCAGCAGCGUUCUGUAUAAGUUGGAGGCUCUUUAUUGAGUUGAUGCUGCAUCCGGACAGGAGAGCAUUGCAGUAAUCUAGUCGGGAAGUAAUAAAUGCGUGGAUUAGUUUUUCUGCAUCUUGGAGGGAUAGGACUUUUCUAAUUUUGGCAAUAUUGCGUAAAUGAAAAAAUGAUGUCUUUGAGAUCUGUUUUAUGUGUGAGUCAAAUAGGAGGUCAUGGUUGAUAGUUACACCAAGGUUUUUGAUGCUAGUAUUGGGUGUUGGGAUGCCAUCGAGUGUGGAUAGAUGGCUAGAUAGUGUCAUUCUCAAUUGAUCGGGGCCUACAAACAUAACUCAGUUUUAUCAGAGUUGAGGAGCAGGAAGUUGUUAGCCAUCCAAGAUUUUACAUCUUGCAGGCAAGUUUCUAUCUUGGGUAAAUGUACAAUUUCAUCAGGUUUCAUGGAUAGGAAG
This is a long non-coding RNA of Clupea harengus (Atlantic herring), 1569 nucleotides long. The record is from Ensembl. Lineage: Eukaryota; Metazoa; Chordata; Actinopteri; Clupeiformes; Clupeidae.